CCCUUAGAUGUUCUGGGCCGCACGCGCGCUACAAUGGUCUUCGCAAACGGAUGCAUUCUCGAAGGAGAAUGCCAAUCUUGGAAUCUAUGCCUUGGUCGGGACAGUUGCUUGCAAUUUUUCGACUCGAGCCAGGAAUUCCUUGUAAUCGUGAUUCAUCACAUCACGAUGAAUACGUCCCUGCCCUUUGUACACACCGCCCGUCGCUCCUACCGAUCGAAGAGUUAGGUGAAUUGUUUUGAUCGAUAAGAUUUGACUAUGGUCAACUCUCGUUGUGAAAUUCUGUGAAUCUGACUGUUUAGAGGAAGGAAAAGUCGUAACA
This 319-nucleotide ribosomal RNA is filed under the name uncultured eukaryote. Its description in RNAcentral is "partial 18S ribosomal RNA". It matches the Rfam family "Eukaryotic small subunit ribosomal RNA", at positions 1470 to 1796 of the family's 1831-position model. The record is from RNAcentral.